Molecule: ribosomal RNA, 380 nt
Filed under: uncultured eukaryote
Lineage: Eukaryota
Description: partial 18S ribosomal RNA
Rfam family: Eukaryotic small subunit ribosomal RNA
Source: RNAcentral
CAAUAGCGUAUAUUAAAGUUGUUGCGGUUAAAAAGCUCGUAGUUGGAUUUCUGCUGAGGACGAUCGGUCCGCCCACUGGGUGAGUAUCUGGCUCGGCCUUGGCAUCUUCUUGGAGAACGUUGCUGCACUUGACUGUGUGGUGCGGUAUCCAGGACUUUUACUUUGAGGAAAUUAGAGUGUUUCAAGCAGGCGCACGCCUUGAAUACAUUAGCAUGGAAUAAUAAGAUAGGACCUUGGUUCUAUUUUGUUGGUUUCUAGAGCUGAGGUAAUGAUUAAUAGGGAUAGUUGGGGGCAUUCGUAUUUAACUGUCAGAGGUGAAAUUCUUGGACUUGUUAAAGACGGACUACUGCGAAAGCAUUUGCCAAGGAUGUUUUCAUUGA